AGGUGGGAAAAUUGAAAAAAAAGUGUGGGAUUUCAAGGGAUUAAGGUGGUGAGCCCUCUAACAAAAGGUAAAGAAAUUGUGCUCGAAGACCGAGAAUAGGAGUAUAUCGAACUCCUAGUACUGCAUGAGGUAGCUUGUGGAUAGCAGAUAUCGUCAAGAAUUAUAGUCGACUUUACUACUCCAAAAAUUAUAGGUUUACUAGCUUUGUGCACUUUUGUUCCUUAUGGGCCCACAAGUCACUAUAAAGUAAAUUUCAUAUCCCGAUUAUCUGUAUUAUAGUACGUAUGAAUUUAUUUAGUUUUUACAUUACAAAAAAA
Theobroma cacao (cacao) is the source of this 317-nucleotide non-coding RNA. The record is from RefSeq and is a predicted model, not a curated record. Lineage: Eukaryota; Viridiplantae; Streptophyta; Magnoliopsida; Malvales; Malvaceae.